This is a long non-coding RNA of Xenia sp. Carnegie-2017, 948 nucleotides long. RefSeq lists it as uncharacterized. NCBI's taxonomy places the organism in Eukaryota, Metazoa, Cnidaria, Anthozoa, Malacalcyonacea, Xeniidae. The transcript is spliced from 7 exons. The record is from RefSeq and is a predicted model, not a curated record.
ACUCACAAGAAAAACUGUUUUGUUCAGAAUUAAUAUAAAAAUUUUUGAUGCUAUGAGAUGGUCUCAUCAAUGUGCAACAAUUGAACUGGAUUUCCAACUUCCUGAGAGAUUCAACCUCACGCUAGGAUUUUAUGGCUUUCUCCCCAUCAAGUUGUAGUAAUUCCUGUCAGUAGUAAAUAUGAUGAUUAUGCCGAACCGGUAAAUUUAAUUUGAUUCAAAAGAAGUUCCAUGCAGCUGGUUAUCGUGUUGAUACAGACUUGGAUCACGGAUCAACACUAAGUAAGAAAGUUCGCAAUGCACAACUUUCACAGUACAACUUCAUUCUUGACGUCAUGACACUUCCAACAUUGAAACAAAAUCAAGCAUGGCAGAAGAGAAACAACGACGCCAGGUUGAAGAUAGCUUGAUGAAAUUGAACGUAGUUGAAGCACCUAGCAUACGCUCGAGAGUUUUGGAUGAGGACUCGUCAACCACUGAAAACAUGAAUGAGUCCAAGCAUGUUUACGACGAUAAAGGCUCUUGCGAGGCAACUUUUCAAACGAAGUUUGUGGAGUGGGGUCAUCCUCCAGUUGGAUGUUGCUCUCUAUCUUUACCUCAUUUAUUUAAUCAUUCACAGUGCCUUCGAGAAACAGACGUUGAUGGUCAACAGUAAUAUACAAGAACUUGAGGAUAAAAAUCACGAGGAAUGCGAUUUGUUUCAAAAGUACAUCAGCAACGAUGAUAUUUUUGAUGGCAUCGUAAGAAGAUGGUGGACGAGCUUACAGGAAUGAUUUACCAUCAAGGUAUAUUUACGAUCAGACUUAUGGCGCGUGCAAAUAUUUAUUGUACAAAUAGGAUAUUGUGUCCCCAAUGAUCCGUUUGUAACCUUUACGCAGCGGAAUUUGUAGCGUUGUUGGUGUAAAUCAUUCGUAACUUGAGUUGAAUAACAAAACAUACUCGUUCAUUGAA